GUUGUGAUUUGGUUUCAUUUUAGUAUCUUUGAUCCAUUAGAAACAAC
This 47-nucleotide non-coding RNA is filed under the name Bacteroides oleiciplenus. The record is from RNAcentral. Lineage: Bacteria; Pseudomonadati; Bacteroidota; Bacteroidia; Bacteroidales; Bacteroidaceae.